AAGCUUGCGUUUAAUACCGUUCUGGGACACGUAAUCGGUACGUCGAGCUUCGAUGAUCCAGCCCCAGACGAUCUAUCCGCGAGUCAUGAUGAUAAACGGAAUCGAUCGGAGAGGGGAAUUCGCAUGUAAAUCUCUAUCUACGCACGUGCGACGCGAUCUAUCGAUCAUCGGCGCGGGAGAUCGUGACCAUUAACUGACGCAGAUUCGAAAUAUUUUCGGAGUUACAGAAGAAAUAGUGAGCAAGCGUCGAGCAGGUAUACGAGCGGUUUUUUGAAGUUUUCAACCAGUUUUUCGAAGAGUCUGAACCACUUUUUGAAGUUUUGAACCAGUGUUUUGAAGAGUCUGGAGGGCGACUCUAUGGACCAGGAAUCGCUGACUAGCAUAUUAAUGCGAUGGAAAUUGCGACCUGCACCUUUCCCGCCGCACGACAAAUGCACACUCGAGACGCCUCGGUGAAAUGCUUGGAUCAGGCAUAAUAUGACAUAUAUCUUAAUGAAAAAAUUUAGGAAGACUGCUGAAAUAUAUAACAAUAAAACC
This 537-nucleotide long non-coding RNA is filed under the name Neodiprion lecontei (redheaded pine sawfly). RNAcentral describes it as "uncharacterized LOC124293947". The record is from RNAcentral. Lineage: Eukaryota; Metazoa; Arthropoda; Insecta; Hymenoptera; Diprionidae.